Molecule: unclassified non-coding RNA, 239 nt
Filed under: Hevea brasiliensis (rubber tree)
Lineage: Eukaryota; Viridiplantae; Streptophyta; Magnoliopsida; Malpighiales; Euphorbiaceae
Source: RNAcentral
GAAGUGCCAAGACCCAUGGAGACUGAGCUGCCUGGGAAAUUUGGGGCUGUUGAUCCAAUUGGGGUGGGCAGCGGCAGUAAAAGAAUGGUGGGGACAGACAUGAAGUCUGGGGGUAAAUAUCUGGACUUCGAGUUCUUCUAGCUCAGGCUUCAUUGUGCUGUGUUGUAUUAGUAUUAGUUCAUCUUACAAGAGUAUGCCUGUAUUCUGUUCUGAUAAUGAACUUCAGUUCACCUGCCUCA